Molecule: ribosomal RNA, 253 nt
Filed under: uncultured bacterium
Lineage: Bacteria
Description: partial 16S ribosomal RNA
Rfam family: Bacterial small subunit ribosomal RNA
Source: RNAcentral
UACGAAGGGGGCUAGCGUUGCUCGGAAUUACUGGGCGUAAAGGGGGCGUAGGCGGAUAGUUUAGUCAGAGGUGAAAGCCCAGGGCUCAACCUUGGAAUUGCCUUUGAUACUGGCUAUCUUGAGUACGGAAGAGGUAUGUGGAACUCCGAGUGUAGAGGUGAAAUUCGUAGAUAUUCGGAAGAACACCAGUGGCGAAGGCGACAUACUGGUCCGUUACUGACGCUGAGGCUCGAAAGCGUGGGGAGCAAACAGG